RNAcentral lists this ribosomal RNA (146 nucleotides) under Listeria rocourtiae FSL F6-920. RNAcentral's name for it is "partial 16S ribosomal RNA". It matches the Rfam family "Bacterial small subunit ribosomal RNA", at positions 1 to 140 of the family's 1533-position model. The record is from RNAcentral. Lineage: Bacteria; Bacillati; Bacillota; Bacilli; Caryophanales; Listeriaceae.
UUAAAGAGAGUUUGAUCCUGGCUCAGGACGAACGCUGGCGGCGUGCCUAAUACAUGCAAGUCGAACGAACCGACGAAAGAGCUUGCUCUUUCUGACGUUAGUGGCGGACGGGUGAGUAACACGUGGGCAACCUGCCUGUAAGUUGG